This 76-nucleotide microRNA precursor is filed under the name Myotis myotis. RNAcentral describes it as "mir-9229 microRNA precursor family". It matches the Rfam family "mir-9229 microRNA precursor family". RNAcentral also lists the same sequence under 1 other name. Lineage: Eukaryota; Metazoa; Chordata; Mammalia; Chiroptera; Vespertilionidae. The record is from Rfam by way of RNAcentral.
GAGACACCCUUCUGGGGCAAGACUUGCUUCAGUGGGGCUUUGGUGCUCACUGAGUCUGCCGCCUGAGUGUGUCCCU